CGCGGCAAGCAGCAGAGGGGGCUGGAAGCCAUUCUGCCCCGACGACAGAGGACAGAGGACUUUUCAGAUGCACCUGCAACCAGGCUAGUGGCGAGUCCCAGAUCACACGGAGCGCACCUGUGCCCGUGGACCUGAGCUUGCUGACCUCUGCACGUCAAUAAUGGAUGACCCAGAGGCCCAUGGACGUUAAUAUUACAUAGAGGCCAUCCCGGCCAGCAGGAGGGAGUUGGUGCCCAGGAUGGGCUGGCCUGCCUCUGACUCGCCAUGGAAACAACAUGAAAGGAGAAAUUUUUAGGAAGGUGCAGGACAGAGCUGACCACGCGUAACAGGUAGAACGGUUUGUAAUUUCAACUUUCAGGGAGCGUAACUGACGCGAGCUUCAGUUAUUCAUCUCAAAAAUGGGGGAAACGGAGGCCAACUCCAAGACGCAGAGAGAACGGAAGGUAGAAGUGGGUCCCUCUGGAGCAGAACUCAGAUCUGCUUACCAGCCAGUAUCAUAGUGUCUCCCUCCAGGGGAAAAGCUGGGGAGGCCUGCUUGUGGCCCAUUAUAAAAGAGGACAGCCCCUCAAAUGUGAAGCAAAGCCACAGGACUUGGGGGACAA
Ailuropoda melanoleuca (giant panda) is the source of this 602-nucleotide long non-coding RNA. RefSeq lists it as uncharacterized. The record is from RefSeq and is a predicted model, not a curated record. Lineage: Eukaryota; Metazoa; Chordata; Mammalia; Carnivora; Ursidae. The transcript has 3 exons.